UAGGGAAUAUUAGUAAUGGGCGAAAGCCUGAACUAGCAACGCCGCGUGUGCGAAGAAGGCCUUCGGGUUGUAAAGCACUUUUGAGAGGAUGAGGAAGGACGGUACUCUCAGAAUAAGUCUCGGCUAACUACGUGCCAGCAGCCGCGGUAACACGUAGGAGGCAAACGUUAUCCGGAUUUACUGGGCGUAAAGCGCGUGUAGGUGGUUUGGUAAGUAGGGCGUGAAAGCUCCUGGCUCAACUAGGAGAGGCCGUUCUAAACUGCCGAACUAGAGGAUGGUAGAGGGAGGUGGAAUUCCGGGUGUAGCGGUGGAAUGCGCAGAUAUCCGGAGGAACACCAGUGGCGAAAGCGGCCUCCUGGACCAUUCCUGACACUCAGACGCGAAAGCUAGGGUAGCAAACGG
This 402-nucleotide ribosomal RNA is filed under the name uncultured bacterium. RNAcentral describes it as "bacterial SSU rRNA". It matches the Rfam family "Bacterial small subunit ribosomal RNA", at positions 355 to 775 of the family's 1533-position model. The record is from RNAcentral.